UACGUAGGGUGCGAGCGUUAAUCGGAAUUACUGGGCGUAAAGCGUGCGCAGGCGGUUCGUUGUGUCCGAUGUGAAAGCCCCGAGCUCAACUUGGGAACGGCAUUGGAAACUGGCGGGCUGGAGUGUGGCAGAGGGGGGUGGAAUUCCACGUGUAGCAGUGAAAUGCGUAGAGAUGUGGAGGAACACCGAUGGCGAAGGCAGCCCCCUGGGCCAACACUGACGCUCAGGCACGAAAGCGUGGGGAGCAAAC
RNAcentral lists this ribosomal RNA (250 nucleotides) under uncultured bacterium. RNAcentral describes it as "partial 16S ribosomal RNA". It matches the Rfam family "Bacterial small subunit ribosomal RNA", at positions 524 to 773 of the family's 1533-position model. The record is from RNAcentral.